UCAACUUUCGAAAUGAAGUCUCAGUAAAUAGCUUUAAAUACUUUAUUUCAAAUUCCAGGUCUAUACUUGCCACAUCUCGAAUCAACUUCACUCUGCUCCUGCAAUAACUUUCAAACACCCUGGUGGGUGGUUCGGGGCCAGUCUUUCGUGCUCUAGUCGUAACAAUCAAUAAUUAAUAAAAAAAAUAAAAAAAAUGUGUUGCCAACAUAUUAUUUAACUUCAUCUAAUCAUAUAGAGCUAUUUCAUUGCUA
This 251-nucleotide long non-coding RNA is filed under the name Linum usitatissimum (flax). RNAcentral describes it as "long non-coding RNA (LUSI_LNC006455)". Lineage: Eukaryota; Viridiplantae; Streptophyta; Magnoliopsida; Malpighiales; Linaceae. The record is from RNAcentral.